RNAcentral lists this ribosomal RNA (381 nucleotides) under uncultured bacterium. Its description in RNAcentral is "partial 16S ribosomal RNA". It matches the Rfam family "Bacterial small subunit ribosomal RNA", at positions 338 to 734 of the family's 1533-position model. The record is from RNAcentral.
CCUACGGGUGGCAGCAGUGGGGAAUAUUGGGCAAUGGGCGCAAGCCUGACCCAGCAAUGCCGCGUGAGGGAAGAAGGCUUUCGGGUUGUAAACCUCUUUGACAGGGGAAGAGCAGAAGCCGGUACCCCGAAGACAAUCCACGGCUAAAUACGUGCCAGCAGCCGCGGUCAUACGUAGGUGGCAAGCGUUGUCCGGAUUGACUGGGUGUAAAGGGCGUGUAGCCGGGAAGGCAAGUCAGAUGUGAAAUCCGGAGGCUCAACCUCCGAAUUGCAUUUGAAACUGUGUGUCUUGAGUAGUGGAGAGGCAGACGGAAUGCCUGGUGUAGCGGUGAAAUGCGUAGAUAUUAGGAGGAACACCAGUGGCGAAGGCGGUCUGCUGGAC